GGGAAACGGAUGGAGUGUUCAAUAAACAAUCAAUAUUGUGACCACGACUGGAACGAGGAUCAUACUCUCUUUAUUACAAGAACACGGAGGUCCUAUGGAAUUUCCUACGGAAAAAGGCCUCCUCAGUAAGGAAAUAACCCGGAGGAUGAUAAAGGUGUUGAUGAUUGGACAAUGGCAAAAUAUGAGUCAAAACCGAAUGCCGAACGUCAAAUGGCUGUGUUAGGUUGUACAAUGUCGGUAUUUACUACUACACCAGCCCUUGUACCAAGGCAAAACCUAUCAAUGUUAUGGGCUGGGACAUAUACCACUUCGAGACAAACCGGUCCAACGCCCACAUAAUGGAAGGGAGUUAUGAGAUUGAUCACUGUUCGUUAUCUUCACCUUGCACCAGACCACUCCAUCCUGUCUAUAAAGAUUUCAAAUUUGUUGGUGAAUUUACCAGGGUUGAAUGCCGCCACUGGAUUUUCUGGGAAGGUUCGUUCGUACCAGAAACGAUCACCGUGUUUAUAGAGACUGAACUGGUAAGCGAUGAUACACUGGAAUGUUGGUCCUAGGAUGCUCCCUCGAAGAGGAGUCUCUGACAAACCUCCAGCAUAAAGAUCAAUAUCAUCCACGUGACUGUCAAAAGACAAAGACAUUUUAACAUUUACAAAAUUACUCGUCGUCUGCACUCAUUUGUACUGUACAUCGUAUCUAACUUUGAUCCUUUUGUAAAAUAAUCAUUCAAAUAAAUUAAUCAUGUAA
Ostrea edulis (European flat oyster) is the source of this 744-nucleotide long non-coding RNA. RefSeq lists it as uncharacterized. The record is from RefSeq and is a predicted model, not a curated record. Lineage: Eukaryota; Metazoa; Mollusca; Bivalvia; Ostreida; Ostreidae. The transcript has 4 exons.